This 453-nucleotide ribosomal RNA is filed under the name uncultured Bacteroides sp. RNAcentral's name for it is "partial 16S ribosomal RNA". It matches the Rfam family "Bacterial small subunit ribosomal RNA", at positions 341 to 792 of the family's 1533-position model. Lineage: Bacteria; Pseudomonadati; Bacteroidota; Bacteroidia; Bacteroidales; Bacteroidaceae. The record is from RNAcentral.
ACGGGAGGCAGCAGUGAGGAAUAUUGGUCAAUGGGCGGAAGCCUGAACCAGCCAAGUCGCGUGAAGGAUGAAGGUAUUAUGUAUUGUAAACUUCUUUAGACGUAGAGAAAUAAGAGGGUCGUGACCCUUGAUGCUAGUAUACGUAGAAUAAGGAUCGGCUAACUCCGUGCCAGCAGCCGCGGUAAUACGGAGGAUCCGAGCGUUAUCCGGAUUUAUUGGGUUUAAAGGGAGCGUAGGCGGUAUGUUAAGUCUGCGGUAAAAUGUCAGGGCCCAACCUUGGCUUGCCGUGGAUACUGGCGUACUUGAAUGUGCACAAGGAAGGUGGAAUUCGUCGUGUAGCGGUGAAAUGCUUAGAUAUGACGAAGAACUCCGAUUGCGAAGGCAGCCUUCUGGGGCAUGAUUGACGCUGAGGCUCGAAAGUGCGGGAAUCAAACAGGAUUAGAUACCCUGGUA